UGCCCCAUGGCUGAGUUGGUUACAGCGUCCGACUGUUAGCGCCUUGUGCCAAGCAAUCGGAAGGUCGUGAGUUCGAGCCUCACUGGGGCAG
RNAcentral lists this transfer RNA (91 nucleotides) under Coprinopsis cinerea okayama7#130. Its description in RNAcentral is "tRNA-Asn". It matches the Rfam family "tRNA". Rfam says of the family: Transfer RNA (tRNA) molecules are approximately 80 nucleotides in length. Their secondary structure includes four short double-helical elements and three loops (D, anti-codon, and T loops). Lineage: Eukaryota; Fungi; Basidiomycota; Agaricomycetes; Agaricales; Psathyrellaceae. The record is from RNAcentral. RNAcentral also lists the same sequence under 1 other name.